RNAcentral lists this ribosomal RNA (709 nucleotides) under Sphaeroforma tapetis. RNAcentral's name for it is "eukaryotic LSU rRNA". The stretch from base 296 to 449 matches the Rfam family "5.8S ribosomal RNA". Lineage: Eukaryota; Ichthyosporea; Ichthyophonida. The record is from RNAcentral.
GAUCAUUACCAAACGAUUCUUUGGAUUCAGUUAGUAGCUUUUYGAUGCGGYGCAAGCCAAAUCGAGAAGUAGUUGGUUGACCGUAAUUAGGAGAAAUCCUUCCAGCUGCACUGAUUGGAUUCAGAGUUUAAUCAACCCCCUGUGAACUAUAAACCCGUACUGUUAUUGUCUUUUGGGUGGUACUGAAGCUGUUUACAGUCGAUGUGCUGCCCAGAAGCGAUAGCGCUUUAUUGAACUACUAAACGAAUUAUAUCUAUACGCAAAAUCUCUUUAUUAUUUAAUAAUAAUAAUUGACAACUUUUAACAGUGGAUCUCUAGGCUCGUGGAUCGAUGAAGAGCGCAGCAAAAUGCGAUACGUAAUGUGAAUUGCAGAAUUCAGUGAAUCAUCGAAUCCUUGAACGCAAAUUGCGGUGUUGGGUAUUCCCGGCACCAUGCUUGGUUGAGUGUCACUUAAUCUAACAAAAUUCAAUUUAUUUUGGGUAUUGUUACAGAUGAGGUUACGAGGCGUCUAUUUAAUAGAACUUCGAACCUUUAAUGACUAGCAAGACGCAUGACUUUUGAAGUUCAUUGCAGCUACUURUGUGGCAAUAUUGUUUCGACAAUUUAAAGCGCAUGUUGGCUCAGUGGAUGUUAAUUCUUAAAUYAUUGCUGUUCUUACAAAUCUGAMUCUAUAUGUCUYCGGACUUAGAAUUUUGACCUCAGCUCAAGC